This 76-nucleotide transfer RNA is filed under the name Omnitrophica WOR_2 bacterium GWF2_38_59. Its description in RNAcentral is "tRNA-Ala". It matches the Rfam family "tRNA". From Rfam's summary of the family: Transfer RNA (tRNA) molecules are approximately 80 nucleotides in length. Their secondary structure includes four short double-helical elements and three loops (D, anti-codon, and T loops). Further hydrogen bonds mediate the characteristic L-shaped molecular structure. tRNAs have two regions of fundamental functional importance: the anti-codon, which is responsible for specific mRNA codon recognition, and the 3' end, to which the tRNAs corresponding amino acid is attached (by aminoacyl-tRNA synthetases). tRNAs cope with the degeneracy of the genetic code in two manners: having more than one tRNA (with a specific anti-codon) for a particular amino acid; and 'wobble' base-pairing, i.e. permitting non-standard base-pairing at the 3rd anti-codon position. Lineage: Bacteria; Pseudomonadati; Candidatus Omnitrophota. RNAcentral also lists the same sequence under 4 other names. The record is from RNAcentral.
GGGGCUGUAGCUCAGCUGGGAGAGCACCUGCUUUGCAAGCAGGGGGUCAGGAGUUCGAUCCUCCUCAGCUCCACAA